Molecule: small RNA, 101 nt
Filed under: Flavobacterium sp. 123
Lineage: Bacteria; Pseudomonadati; Bacteroidota; Flavobacteriia; Flavobacteriales; Flavobacteriaceae
Description: Flavo-1 RNA
Rfam family: Flavo-1 RNA
Source: RNAcentral
UUGCGUGAGGGAUAAGAGCGGUAUCCUUUUUCGUUUAUGGGAUGUUCAUGGAGGAGAAAUUUAGCGGUAACGAAAAGAUAUAGCGUAUAGCCCGACCGAAG